UAGAAGCGAGGUAGAGUAACUGGUCCAAGUCACUUAGUCAGUGAGAGGCAGAACCAGCAAUUGAACUCAGGAUAUUAGGCCCAGAACCUCAGCUCCUGACCACUAGGCACAUCACCCCCGAUAGGAUUUGUCUUUGAGAUCUUAACUAGGAACAGCAAUCAUUCAGCAGCCAAAACUGUUUUGUUUUUGUUGUUUGCAAGAUCUCGGUACACCUUCUUAUCCUUCUUUGUUGUUCAAGUUAAAUAAGGGGCAGCUUUUCUCCUCGACGGAACUGAAAUGGGAAUUUGCUGGAGGAUUUGAGGGCACACACAAAUUCUGCAGCCUUGGGUUUGCGGAAGCCGAGGCAGUAAGGAGCGUUGGCCUCUGCCCUCAGGGGGGAGACAUCUGAGCCGGCAACCCAAGGCAUGCUUUGUGUAGGGGAGAAAAAUACCCACGAAGGAAGCUUCUCAGAGGGUGACCAGGUGCACAGUUCAGCCAAGAGCAAUGGACAGCUAGUAAGCAGCUGAAGCAGGAAGUAGCUAUGGAUCCACCUCCCCUUCCCAGGCACCAUUUUGGCUACAGCGUGGAGGG
Molecule: long non-coding RNA, 570 nt
Organism: Herpailurus yagouaroundi (jaguarundi)
Lineage: Eukaryota; Metazoa; Chordata; Mammalia; Carnivora; Felidae
Exons: 3
Source: RefSeq, a predicted model, not a curated record